Molecule: long non-coding RNA, 182 nt
Organism: Haliotis rubra (blacklip abalone)
Lineage: Eukaryota; Metazoa; Mollusca; Gastropoda; Lepetellida; Haliotidae
Exons: 3
Source: RefSeq, a predicted model, not a curated record
GAAUAAAAUUGCUGAAAGCGAAAUGGAUUUUACGGUACAACCAGAAAUUAACGAGAAUUUAAGAUUGUAAUUUUUAAAAAACAUUUCACUCAUUACUCACGUAUUAAACAUGAAUAUUAGUAGAACAUAACUCCAGAUUCAAAGACAGGUGAACAGUUAGUAUUUUGUCAAGGCACCAUGGG